UUCCGGUUGAUCCCGCCGGACCUGACUGCUAUCGGAUUGAUACUAAGCCAUGCGAGUCUUUGUAGUAAUACAAGGCAUACGGCUCAGUAACGCGUAGUCAACCUACCCUAUGGACAAGAAUAAUCUCGGGAAACUGAGCAUAAUUCUUGAUAGAUCAUAAUGCCUGGAAUGGUUUAUGGUUAAAAUGAUUCGUCGCCAUAGGAUGGGACUGCGGCCUAUCAGCUUGUUGGUGAGGUAAUGGCCCACCAAGGCGAUAACAGGUACGGGCUCUGAGAGGAGAAGCCCGGAGAUGGGUACUGAGACAAGGACCCAGGCCCUAUGGGGCGCAGCAGGCGAGAAAACUUUGCAAUGUGCGAAAGCACGACAAGGUUAGUCCGAGUGAUUUCUGCUAAAGAGAUCUUUUGCUAGUUAUAAAACCACUAGUGAAUAAGGGGUGGGCAAGUUCUGGUGUCAGCCGCCGCGGUAAAACCAGCACCUCAAGUGGUCAGGAUGAUUAUUGGGCCUAAAGCAUCCGUAGCCGGCUCUGUAAGUUUUCGGUUAAAUCUAUACGCUUAACGUAUGGGCUGCCGAAAAUACUGUAGAGAUAGGGAGUGGGAGAGGUAGACGGUACUCGGUAGGAAGGGGUAAAAUCCUUUGAUCUAUCGAUGACCACCUGUGGCGAAGGCGGUCUACCAGAACACGUUCGACGGUGAGGGAUGAAAGCUGGGGGAGCAAACCGGAUUAGAUACCCGGGUAGUCCCAGCUGUAAACGAUGCAGACUCGAUGAUGCAUUGGCAUAUAGCCAGUGCAGUGUCGCAGGGAAGCCGUUAAGUCUGCCGCCUGGGAAGUACGUACGCAAGUAUGAAACUUAAAGGAAUUGGCGGGGGAGCACCACAAGGGGUGAAGCCUGCGGUUCAAUUGGAUUCAACGCCGGG
This 914-nucleotide ribosomal RNA is filed under the name uncultured marine archaeon. Its description in RNAcentral is "bacterial SSU rRNA". It matches the Rfam family "Archaeal small subunit ribosomal RNA", at positions 1 to 922 of the family's 1478-position model. The record is from RNAcentral.